RNAcentral lists this ribosomal RNA (272 nucleotides) under uncultured bacterium. RNAcentral describes it as "partial 16S ribosomal RNA". It matches the Rfam family "Bacterial small subunit ribosomal RNA", at positions 337 to 606 of the family's 1533-position model. The record is from RNAcentral.
CCCUACGGGGGGCAGCAGUGAGGAAUAUUGGUCAAUGGGAGAGAUCCUGAACCAGCCAAGCCGCGUGAGGGAAGACGGCCCUAUGGGUUGUAAACCUCUUUUGUCGGAGAACAAAACCCGGGACGAGUCCCGGACUGCGCGUAUCCGUAGAAAAAGCAUCGGCUAACUCCGUGCCAGCAGCCGCGGUAAUACGGAGGAUGCGAGCAUUAUCCGGAUUUAUUGGGUUUAAAGGGCGCGCAGGCGGCGAGUUAAGUCAGCGGUAAAAUUUCGGG